RNAcentral lists this ribosomal RNA (376 nucleotides) under uncultured bacterium. RNAcentral describes it as "bacterial SSU rRNA". It matches the Rfam family "Bacterial small subunit ribosomal RNA", at positions 524 to 898 of the family's 1533-position model. The record is from RNAcentral.
UACGUAGGGUGCGAGCGUUAAUCGGAAUUACUGGGCGUAAAGGGUGCGCAGGCGGUUCUGCAAGUCAGGCGUGAAAGCCCCGGGCUUAACCUGGGAAUGGCGCUUGAAACUACAGGACUGGAGUAUGGCAGAGGGAGGUGGAAUUCCACGUGUAGCGGUGAAAUGCGUAGAGAUGUGGAGGAACACCGAUGGCGAAGGCAGCCUCCUGGGCCAAUACUGACGCUCAUGCACGAAAGCGUGGGGAGCAAACAGGAUUAGAUACCCUGGUAGUCCACGCCCUAAACGAUGAUGACUAGUUGUUGGAGGAGUUAAAUCCUUUAGUAACGCAGCUAACGCGCGAAGUCAUCCGCCUGGGGAGUACGGUCGCAAGAUUAAA